UUUUCCUGAUUUUACAAGGCUUACAAUUUUGUCAAUUUCAAGAAUAAGAAAGUUAGAGAAAGAACAACCAGAAACUGUUGAAAUUGAAGGAUUUUGGUAAACAGAUACGAAAAAUAACACUCAACAAUAAAAUAUUAUUGAAAUUAUUGUCAGAACAUGCAACAGAACAAAUGAAUGAGAUUAGAAUCUCCAUAUGACAAAGGUUUCAAAGGAGAGAUUUACACUAAUAAACUUUAUUUGGUAACAAAAGUUUGCAAUGUUUCAGAACAAUUUGUAGAACACGAUUAUUUGGGUGGCCAAGCCUAUUGUGCUAUACAUAAACACUGAUAUCUACAAAAUUCUUCUUGUUUUGUUAGAACUGUCACUAUUUUCCUUAUUAUCACUAUUGCCCUUACCUCUAAUGGGAAUUAUUUCAAUUGGAUGUUAACAUUACUUUUUAUUGGAUGUCCUGCAUCGGCUAGAGAUAAGUCCAACUUACAAUAUAUAAGUCUAUUGUUCUAUCCUUUAUUGGGUUGCUAUCAGACCACCCAUUAAUGUCCAGUCUCAUACUCGAGAUAUAUAUAUCUCAGUAUGAAGGAAGUAUGUUGGAAGUUCCGAAUCGACUAAAGCUCAACAAGGC
Long non-coding RNA from Vigna radiata var. radiata (mung bean), 619 nucleotides. RefSeq lists it as uncharacterized. Lineage: Eukaryota; Viridiplantae; Streptophyta; Magnoliopsida; Fabales; Fabaceae. The transcript is spliced from 3 exons. The record is from RefSeq and is a predicted model, not a curated record.